CCCUAGCCCCGAUAGUAACGGUUACCCCGCAACAGGGAGUUGGAGAGUUUGAGGGUUUGAGGGUUGGAGAGUACGGGCGUGAGGAGUAUGAGUGGAUAGCGGGAGAUAGC
Molecule: unclassified non-coding RNA, 110 nt
Filed under: Chryseobacterium contaminans
Lineage: Bacteria; Pseudomonadati; Bacteroidota; Flavobacteriia; Flavobacteriales; Weeksellaceae
Description: Flavo-1 RNA
Source: RNAcentral